Molecule: non-coding RNA, 24 nt
Filed under: Cricetulus griseus (Chinese hamster)
Lineage: Eukaryota; Metazoa; Chordata; Mammalia; Rodentia; Cricetidae
Source: RNAcentral
GAUGUUGUGAUGAUGGGCAAAAUG